Drosophila virilis is the source of this 2492-nucleotide long non-coding RNA. RefSeq lists it as uncharacterized. The record is from RefSeq and is a predicted model, not a curated record. NCBI's taxonomy places the organism in Eukaryota, Metazoa, Arthropoda, Insecta, Diptera, Drosophilidae.
ACUCGAGUUUAUCUCUGUGCGAUGAUCUCUUCUCACUCUGCUUCUGCGCAACGUAAUUCUGUUUUAGUUGAAUUGCAGCAGUCGAGUGAAGCUGAUUAAAAAUAUUAAUAUUGACUUUUCUCGGGUAAAUACCGUCCGUGUUUCUAGUGCUAUACGUUUUCGGAUUCGUGCAGACCGUGUGUAUUAAUAUACAUUUAAAAAAACUCGUAUUCUAGAGCUUAACAAAAAUGGAAUCCAAAUGUUGAUACUGCGGUCGAUUUUAAAGACUUACAAAUCCCAAAAAAGCUUGCCCUUAUUUAAAGUCGCAGUUAAAUAACCCUUAUAAAGCCAUUCAAAGUCUUCAAAAAAUAAUUAAUUGUGCAUUUCAUAAAAGCCCGUUGAAUAAGAAUAAAAUACACUAGCACACAUAUAUACAAACACACGUACGCGCACAUUUGCCGAUUCUCUCCGCCUACAUACAUACGUACAUAUAGCAUACAUAUGCACGUGUGUGUUCUCACAAUUUAUAUCUACUUAUGCUUCUGUGCAAUAGCUCUGCGGUGUUUACCGUAGAAUGGCUCUCGCGUGAAUUAUUGUUGUUGCUUAUCGCUCCAAAAAUGAAUUUUGUCUGGUGAUCAUUUGCUUGCUCUGUAUGCGGAGAAAAAAGUAUGCAUAUAUGUUUGUUUGUAUGUAUUGGGCAAUGCGAAAAUAUCAAUAUGUAUGUAUAUGCACAAUAACUGUAGCACUCGACAAUCACAUCGCCUUUUAGUUAUGAAAAUAAAAAUUCCGUUAAGAGAGCUGCUGAAAUUGAUUCUCUGAUGAUUGUAGGUAAAACUCCACGUUUACUUAAUUAUUCGGCGAUAACUGCUUUCGUCAUAUUUAGUUACACUUUUGUGAAGGAAACUAUUAAAUCAGCUAAAUAGCAUAUGCAUAUCCGCUCCUAAAACUUAACCUUUCAGACUCCCCCGAGUCGACAUUGCCUAAUAGAAAAGUGUACAUAUUGACUUCAAGUUGAUUGUUGAAUUGUGAGUGACUUGAGCAGACGAAACCGGCGCCCAGAAAAUAAGCAAGCGAUCAAAAUCAGAGUGUGAGCGCUGCGCCACACGGCUUAGCAUACACACCCACACAAACACGUGUACGAGCCAAAGAUGAGCCAAAGGGAGAGAUAAGCAGCCACCUGUUUGUGUGGGUGUUCGCUGUAAUUUAUCUGCCUGCGCUCACGCGCUCCUGAUAAUUUUCGGUGCUGAUCGCUGAUUGGUCCAAUCAACAAUUGAUGUUCUCGUCUGCUCGUUUGCGUGCUCUAUUUUCUGAGCGCCGUUCUUUUGUGCGCUGUGGUGGACCUGCGCAACUUUAUUCUGAGUUAGUGUGGCCCCAUCAGUCAAUCUGUUGAGCUACUUAUUAUUUUGUUAUACGUGUUUGUGGCUGCGAUGCAUAAGUAGAUAAUUCGUCCACAUUGCGUCUGCGCAACAUAAUUUUGUUUUAACUUAUGCCAGAAUUCGCGUGAUUUGAUACGUGAAAAUUCUCGAGCUAAUUUCGUCUGGAGCUGUAAUAAAACUCGCUUAUGGAGUCGAACCUAUCGGGAGUAUCAAUUGACAUGUAAAAAAUUGCCUUUUUACGUCAAGGUGGUUGCCAAAUUUUAGUCGGCUGUGAAAUACACAAAUUUUAGCGUUCGAUUGAUUGGGCAGGCUUUCAGGUCUCCCAUGAGACAUGCCUCCCAGGUCAAGAAAACAUUCAAGCCCAUUCAUAUACAGAUAACCUUGAUAAUUGCAUUCAAUGGAUAUACCUUUAACCAAAUCUAACUUUAUGUUUUAACCAAAAGACAAUGGUUAAUCAGAAUUAUUACGAAUCUGGGUCGGCUCUGAAAGAUUUAAAGGCUUGCCCGAAUUCUAAAAGCAAAAUCUGCUAAGCUAAAUCUGGAUUGGUUCUGAAAUUAAAAUUAAUAGAAGCCUCAUCUGAGUACAAAAACUGUAACCGGAGGUAAAAUUCUACGUUUUUAUUAAAUCAAAUUCCUAAGAAGGCAGCUAUUAAAUAAGCUAAAUUAAAUAUCUAUAAUACCCUAUCGGAAAAAUGUUAACUUUAAUUUGAUUGUUGAUCGAGUGACUUAAACGGACCGGCGCCCAGAAAAUAAGCAAGCGAUCGAAAUCAGAGUGUGAGCGCUGCGCCACACGGCUUGGCAUACACACCCACACAAACACGUGUACGAGCCAAAGAUGAGCCAAAGGGAGAGAUAAGCAGCCACCUGUUUGUGUGGGUGUUCGCUGUCAUUUAUCCGCCAGCGCUCACGCGCUCCUGAUAAUUUUCGGUGCUGAUCGCUGAUUGGUCCACUCAAUAAUUGAUGUUCUGAGCGCCGUUUUUUUUUUUUGAGCGCUGUGGACCUGCGCGACUUUAUUCUGAGUUAAUGUGGCCGCAUAAAGUAAUAUGGUCUGUUAUUGUGAGUGAUAGUCUCUUAAGCUUUUUUUAUGUUAGCAAUGGAAAGUGAAUUCGGACAGACCAAAACAUUAAUUUCAUUUUUA